UCGAUAUAUUGACGGAACCUGCUACGAU
Molecule: small RNA, 28 nt
Filed under: Bombyx mori (domestic silkworm)
Lineage: Eukaryota; Metazoa; Arthropoda; Insecta; Lepidoptera; Bombycidae
Description: ovarian small RNA-28440
Source: RNAcentral